Molecule: ribosomal RNA, 253 nt
Filed under: uncultured bacterium
Lineage: Bacteria
Description: partial 16S ribosomal RNA
Rfam family: Bacterial small subunit ribosomal RNA
Source: RNAcentral
AACGUAGGACACAAGCGUUAUCCGGAUUCACUGGGUUUAAAGGGUGCGUAGGUGGGCAGGUAAGUCCGUGGUGAAAUCUCUGAGCUUAACUCAGAAACUGCCGUGGAUACUAUUUGUCUUGAAUAUUGUGGAGGUGAGCGGAAUAUGUCAUGUAGCGGUGAAAUGCUUAGAUAUGACAUAGAACACCAAUUGCGAAGGCAGCUCACUACACAAUUAUUGACGCUGAGGCACGAAAGCGUGGGGAUCAAACAGG